This 397-nucleotide ribosomal RNA is filed under the name uncultured bacterium. RNAcentral's name for it is "partial 16S ribosomal RNA". It matches the Rfam family "Bacterial small subunit ribosomal RNA", at positions 523 to 918 of the family's 1533-position model. The record is from RNAcentral.
AUACGUAGGGGGCGUGCGUUGUCCGGAAUGAUUGGGCGUAAAGGGCGCGUAGGCGGCCCGGUAAGUCUGGAGUGAAAGUCCUGUUUUUAAGAUGGGAAUUGCUUUGGAUACUGUCGGGCUUGAGUGCAGGAGAGGUAAGUGGAAUUCCCAGUGUAGCGGUGAAAUGCGUAGAGAUUGGGAGGAACACCAGUGGCGAAGGCGACUUACUGGACUGUAACUGACGCUGAGGCGCGAAAGUGUGGGGAGCAAACAGGAUUAGAUACCCUGGUAGUCCACACUGUAAACGAUGAAUGCUAGGUGUAGGGGGUAUCGACCCCUUCUGUGCCGCAGUCAACACAAUAAGCAUUCCGCCUGGGGAGUACGGCCGCAAGGUUGAAACUCAAAUGAAUUGGCGGGG